This is a long non-coding RNA of Lynx canadensis (Canada lynx), 1102 nucleotides long. RefSeq lists it as uncharacterized. The transcript is spliced from 2 exons. NCBI's taxonomy places the organism in Eukaryota, Metazoa, Chordata, Mammalia, Carnivora, Felidae. The record is from RefSeq and is a predicted model, not a curated record.
GUGGCCUUCGCUUUGCGCCUCCGCGUGCCCUCGAGCCCCCGGCGGGCCGAGGCGGCCCUCGGGGAGUCCGGCCCCCGGACAGUGCUCCCCUCGCGUCCGGCCCGCGAGGCUUCUCGGCCUGCCUGGGCCACCCCGCCGCCCCGCGAGCGGCGGCCUUCUCGUCCUGCACGCGCCGCCUGGGCCCGCCCGGGGAGGAGGGCCCCGUGGGGCCGGGGCGGGCGAGGAGGGAGGACGGAGAUGCGCUCCGGGCCCGGAGCGUGGUGGAGCGAGGGAGUGACAGGCCCGGUGGGCGCCCUGGGGGAAGAGGCCAGUCUGCUGCCCACACCCUGAGCCCACUGAAGCUGGAAGACCGCCAGGCCUGGAGCGCUCUGAACAAUUUAGCUCCUAGGUGCAUGAGAAGCCCAACGGAGUAAUGGGUGCUGAUGAGUUUCGCACCCGGAGUCUGAAGAAAAUGAGUCAUUAAAGGCAUUCAGGGACUUUGCUGUGUAGCAAGAGAUUAGUUCUCACUAAUGUUAAUGGCUGAGAUUUCAGCCCUUGGGAAGAAUCAAGGACCAAGUUCCUGGUUGCGAUUGGCGAGGGCAGAGAGGUCUUUAAAGAAGAGCAAGGUUUCCUGUCAGUGGGCACAGGAGAGGAAGAGGAGAAGAGAAAUUCACAUCUCGUCCGAAGUCCGUGGUGGGAAGGACUGGAGCAAGAUGGGUACCUAGACCCCUCAACUUAAUGUUCCACGUUGCUGGCUUUGUGGAAUCAGUACUGGAAUUAAUAUUAAUCAAUGGCAAGGGAGACCAGAACAGAGGAUGGUCCUGUGAUGGAUGGUCACAAGCUUCUCCCUGCUGUGAAGUAUCUUUCCUUCAGAAACGACUCUUUCCAUUCCUUUCAUGUAUUUGCCUUCUCUGGAAGACUCAUUAUGAGCUUCUUAGGACAGCCUUUGCUUUGUAUUUGAGGCCCAGAGAAGUCGGGCAGUUUGUUCAAGCCCGCACAGCUAGUUAGGGGCAGAGCCGAGCCUAAAAUCUUGGGCCAUUUCCAAAUCCAGUGUUCGCCCUACUGUAUCACACUGUGAAACUCUUGAGUUGAUCACUGUGAGUGCUUAAUAAAUAUUAGAUUU